CCUACGGGUGGCAGCAGUGAGGAAUAUUGGUCAAUGGGCGCGAGCCUGAACCAGCCAAGUAGCGUUCAGGAUGACUGCCCUACGGGUUGUAAACUUCUUUUAUACAGAAAUAAAGUUAGGCACGUGUGCCUUUUUGCAUGUACUUUAUGAAUAAGGAUCGGCUAACUCCGUGCCAGCAGCCGCGGUAAUACGGAGGAUCCGAGCGUUAUCCGGAUUUAUUGGGUUUAAAGGGAGCGUAGAUGGGUUGUUAAGUCAGUUGUGAAAGUUUGCGGCUCAACCGUAAAAUUGCAAUUGAUACUGGCAGUCUAGAGUACAGUUGAGGUAGGCGGAAUUCGUGGUGUAGCGGUGAAAUGCUUAGAGAUCACGAAGAACUCCGAUUGCGAAGGCAGCUUACUAAACUGCCACUGACAUUGAUGCUCGAAAGUGUGGGUAUCAAACAGGAUUAGAUACCCCUGUAGUC
RNAcentral lists this ribosomal RNA (460 nucleotides) under uncultured bacterium. Its description in RNAcentral is "partial 16S ribosomal RNA". It matches the Rfam family "Bacterial small subunit ribosomal RNA", at positions 338 to 795 of the family's 1533-position model. The record is from RNAcentral.